This 1236-nucleotide ribosomal RNA is filed under the name metagenome. RNAcentral describes it as "bacterial LSU rRNA". It matches the Rfam family "Bacterial large subunit ribosomal RNA", at positions 1564 to 2808 of the family's 2925-position model. The record is from RNAcentral.
UGAGUACGAGAUGCUACGGCAUCGAAGCAGUCUAUGUCAUACUUCCAAGAAAAGCUUGCAAUGUCAUAAACAAAUAAUGCCUGUACCAUAACCGACACAGGUGGGUAGGUAGAGUAUACUAAGGGGCGCGAGAUAACUCUCUCUAAGGAACUCGGCAAAAUGACUCCGUAACUUCGGGAGAAGGAGUGCCUUAUUUUUAUAAGGUUGCAAUAACAAGAUCCAAGCAACUGUUUACCAAAAACACAGGUCUCCGCUAAGUCGUAAGACGAUGUAUGGGGGCUGACGCCUGCCCAGUGCCAGAAGGUUAAAGAAGUUGGUUAGCAUUAGCGAAGCUGAUAACUGAAGCCCUGGUGAACGGCGGCCGUAACUAUAACGGUCCUAAGGUAGCGAAAUUCCUUGUCGGGUAAGUUCCGACCCGCACGAAAGGCGUAAUGAUUUGGAUACUGUCUCGGAGAGGGGCUCGGUGAAAUAGACUUGUCUGUGAAGAUGCGGACUACCUGCACCUGGACAGAAAGACCCUAUGAAGCUUUACUGUAACUUGAGAUUGAAAUUGGACUUUAUCUGCGCAGUAUAGGUGGGAGACGUUGAAAAUAUUCUUGCGGGAAUAUUGGAGUCAUCAGUGAGAUACCACUCUUAUAAUGUUAGAUUUCUAACUUUGUAUCAUUAUCUGGUCAAAGAACAGUUUCAGGCGGGCAGUUUGACUGGGGCGGUCGCCUCCCAAACGGUAACGGAGGCGCACAAAGGUUUCCUCUGAACGUGUAGAAAUCGUAUCUAGAGUGUAAAGGCAUAAGGAAGCUUGACUGUGAGACCUACAAGUCGAGCAGGGACGAAAGUCGGUCUUAGUGAUCUGACGGUGCUGAGUGGAAAGGCCGUCACUCAACGGAUAAAAGUUACUCUAGGAUAACAGGCUGAUCUCCCCCAAGAGUUCACAUCGACGGGGAGGUUUGGCACCUCGAUGUCGGCUCAUCGCAUCCUGGGGCGGUAGUACGUCCCAAGGGUUGGGCUGUUCGCCCAUGAAAGCGGUACGCGAGCUGGGUUCAGAACGUCGUGAGACAGUUCGGUCCAUAUCCGGUGUAGGCGUUAGAAUAUUGAGAGGAGCCUUCUUUAGUACGAGAGGACCGAGAAGGACAUACCUCUGGUGUACCAGUUAUCGUGCCAACGGUAAACGCUGGGUAGCCAUGUAUGGAGAGGAUAACCGCUGAAAGCAUCUAAGUGGGAAGCCCACCUCAAGAUAAG